This 245-nucleotide long non-coding RNA is filed under the name Pan troglodytes (chimpanzee). Its description in RNAcentral is "long non-coding RNA NONPTRT018440". Lineage: Eukaryota; Metazoa; Chordata; Mammalia; Primates; Hominidae. The record is from RNAcentral.
CAAUGUGGCCUGGGGAAGGCAGCAUGAGUCCUGCCAAACCCAAGCCUGUUUAGUAUGCAGGCCUGGGACCUGAGGGUCUCUCUGGGGAAAAAGGAUCCCUGUCUCCACACACAGGAAAGAGUGCCUGGGAAGUGGCUUCUCCUCAAUGAACCAUUUUCCCCCUUUUGCCCUGCUCCCCACCCAUCCCAUGCCACAUCUCACUUUGGGAUGCCUUCGGCAACCUGGAAAGCCUUCAGUCUCUCACA